UUUGGUAUAUUAAUAAUGUAAUAUUAUUACAUUCUGUUCUGUAAUAAUAAUUAAUGCCUUCCUAAUAUGGCGUGAAUUUAACUCUCUGAGGCCCGAGUGCUACCCAGGAUUUGACAGGCUAGUGACAUUUCUGUUGUUUUAGGGAUUGAUUAUUAUUUCCUUUUGGAACAAAGUUGAACUAUGCAGAGAUAUGUUUUGUCCUGUGUGUGUGUGUGUGUGUGUGUGUGUGUGUGUGUGUGCAUAUUUCUGACUAAUUCUAAUUGGCAAUAAUUGACCAAUUAACUCUAUGAAUCACUGGAACUUUUCUACCUUUUUGGAUCUAUGAAACCGUUUUAUCUUAAAUUAGUAGAUGCUAUAUCGUGAAGAUGCCGUGUUCUGGAAAAUCAAGCUAUUUUGCUUCUAUAGUUCUUAAACAUGUCCAAGGGAUAUUACCAAUCACAGAAGCACAGAACUAUCCAGAGCAUUUCUGUGCUGUAGAGAUUUGCACUCAGAGGAGUGAAGGAAAAGAUUUUAGAGGCCAUGUGGUUGCCCAUUGCCAUCAUUUGUGUUGCCCAAAGAAGGGAAAGGACUGUGAAAUAGAAUUGCCAGUGGAAACUCUCUCUGGUCUUGUCAGCAAGCUUUUUACGAAAAACACAGUCCAUUCUUCCACUCCAGACCUUUUAACAGGAUAACAAUUGACCAACUGCCAGGAUUUAUUGGCCGGAAUAGAAACAGACAUCACCAUGUCAUAACACAGUCCUAAAUAGGAACUUCUACAUUCUUUCUAUGCAGGUUCUGCAUUUUUCAGGCAUUUGCCUUACUUCCCCACCAUGCGUAUCAAACGUAAAUUGAUAUGCUGAACCUACAGAGAUGUUUGAAGGCUUUUAUUUUUUCUUAUAUGCAUUUAGAAUUUUGCAAACAUAAUACAUGCCCAUUUAAAAAAAUAAAAUAUGGAAAAAUUUGUAAUAACAUUAGCUCCUUGCCCCAUCUUCUCCUACAUGUAAUUCUGUUUCCCAGAGACAACAGUUUUUUUUUUCCCUAAGUGUUUCUGUCUCAAACUUCUUUCAUACCUCAACUUCAUAAAUCUACAUGCUAUGUAUACUAUGCCACUAUUUCUUAAUUUUGCACUUUGGUGUAAUUUAUUGACUUUCUGAUGUAAUCGAUGGAGAUUUAGCAGUGUUAUGUCCUCCACACCAUUGCUACCCCCACCGUCACCCUCCAGCUUUGUUAUAGCACUGUUCUAGCAGUACUUUAUGACUUCUUGGCUAUUUGUGUAUCUACUGAUAAUAGACAGUAUCUCUAGGCUUCUCAGUCCAUAAAAGGACAAUAGUGAUUUAAACUAAUUUAAACUCUUGUUUUAAACUUUCUUCCUUGUUUCCAUUUCCUAAUUUACAUCACUUAUACUUUCACGUAUACACGUCAAGUUUAAAAGCAUUUGCAUUCUGUUCUACACCCAUAAUUAACACCUUUCUGAUGUAUACGUAGGUUGACUUUCAAGAGUUGAAAACGAACACAUUCUGGGCUGUGACUUUUUUUCUGGAUAACUUCACUAGUUAUCCCACCUCAUUCUACUUUUUGCCUCCUGUAACUUCAUUUAAAACUCUUAUUUGCUGAUAGUCCAUCUCCAGUUCUUUCUUUUUUGUGAUUCUAUGUUUUCUCUAUAUCUUUACUUUUGAAAAGAUCUAGAGAAGAAAAGAGGAUAAACAAAUGUGCUCAGUCCACCAUCUUGCACCACUCCUUUUGAAUUUGAUUUUCUUCCCGGUACAUGUGCAACAGAAGAAAUGUGUUGUACCAGUAAUUAUCUAGUUAGGCUUUCAUGUUUUCAGUAAUGUACUACUGAAACUAUGUUAUAUACAUAUGCAUAUACAUAUACAUACACAUAUACAUAUACAUAAUCAUUUCAUUUCUGCAGUUUAACAUUUUAUUACUGCUUUAAAUUUAGGAAGGAAAGUGGUUCUAAUUCAAAACUCUCUGAGAUAGCAAAUAGAGAAGGCAAACACAUGGUUUGGGAAAUUUGAAGAAGCAUGUAAGAACUGACCAUUGAUUUUAAUUCAGUCUUUUCACUCUGUUAACCUUAAAAAUAUUGAAAACAAAAGCACUUUCUUUUAAAGCAUUGGCAUGAUAUCUUGAUUCCUUAUUUUGUCUCCUUUUCCAAUCACAGUUUACAAUACACCUGGCAGGCAAUACCCCAUUUUGAUAUCUUCAUCUGCACUGCAGGAUAAGAUAGCAACAUGCUUUCCUUUUGCCUCUGCCUUCUGUAAAGUCUGGUUUACAGUUUUAAUAACUCCUUGGAACAAGUUACUGUACAACAUAAACAUAUAUUCCUGUUUAUUCAGAGUGACGGUUUUGUUAUUAUUGUAUUAUAAAAACAAUUGUGAUUCUAAAUAAAAUAUACCCGUAAAUUAAAACUCAGGGAUCAACUUAACUAUAAUAUAUACACAAUUUAAGGUCCCCAAAAUUUUAUUUCACAAAAUUCAUCUAGCCUGAAAUAGUUGCUUAUAACUCAGGCAAUGUCUGCAUGAUUCAUUUUUUAAGUACAUAAAAUUUAUAUCUCCCUGUUUUCUUACUCAUCUCUAGCAGGAUGAUCUUUUUGAAUAUUCUCAUUAUCCCUUUGUGAGCUCAGGGAGUGCCCUGAUGCCCCAGCCGGCCUCACUGCUUUGUCCUGGACUGAAAAUGGCCUUUGGAAAAGAUAACUUCAAAAAAAGAGAGAUAAUGCAGCUUAAUGGUGAAAGGGUUUGGCUUGGAGGCCAGGCAUUGAGUGCCAGUCCUGGCUUAAUACCUUUCUGGCUGGGUGACCUGGAACACUUGACUUAUUCUCUCAAAGCUUGUGAAAUGGGAAUAAUAAUAAUAAUAAUACUUACCUCAUAGAGACAUCAAGAGGCUAAAAUAAAAUAAUGCAUGGGAAAACAGCAAAAUGUUGACAUACUAAGUACACAUUAAUAUUGUUUAUUUUUAUUCUUACUAAUUUGACUUGUUAAUGAUUCAAAAGUAUUAAUCCUGUGUAAGCACACAGAAAUACCUACAUAUGAACUUGUCCUUAAGUUUUUGAGGAUCUAAAAUGCAUUCUGAGGGAGCUUUUCAGUAUGAGGAACUUUUCCUUAUUUCACUUUAGAGGUAUGAUUUGUAUUUUAGGAAUUGUUUGCACAGUAUGCAGACAGAAAUACUGAGCCCAACUUUUACUUUUUCUUCAAGUAGGACGUCAAGUUUGUAUAUAGUUUAUUCAUAUCUAAAUCCCUGUUUUUAUUAAGUUGCCUUCAGUGUCUUGACAUAAAGAUUAGUUUCAUAAAACUUGAGCUGUCUAGUUAAACCUGUUUAAUGUUUACUUUGCAUAGCAAGCAAAUCCCUAUAUUUCUAAGAGGGAAGUUUGUGUGCCCCUAACUAGGCAAAGAAGAAAAGAUGAGUUAGGGGUAGGGGAAAUACUAAAGACUCGAUUUUAUUAUUAUUAUUAUAUUAAUUAUUUAAAAAGAGUUUUAAAAUUUUGAUAGCUUUUGGGGAACAAGUGAUUUUUGGUUACAUGGAUGAAUUGUAUAGUGGUGAAAUCUGAGAUUUUAGUGUACCUGCCACCUGAACAGUGUAUGUGGUAAUCAAUAUGUAAUUUUCUUCCCUCGCCCUCCUCUUACCCUCCCUCUUCUGAGUCUCCAAUGGCCAUUAUACCACUCUGUCUGCCUUUGCGUACCCAUAACUUAAAGACUCGAUUUUAGUCCUGACUCUUCUGCCAGCUUUCUUAAGUCAGUUCGUGAACUGACUUAAAUCAAUUCUUGUACACUUAUCCUGUACUAUGUUUCAGGAACUGAAGUAGAGAGACAAAUAAAAUCCCUUUCCUUAGAAAACACACACAGCUUGGUUUGGAAGGCUGGUAAGUACAAUCCAGUGUCUGUGACAAUACGUAAACAAUGUGACAAUACACACAUCACCAAAAGGGGGUUUGGGACAGGAUGCUUAUGUCCUGGAGGAAGGGAUAUCCUACUAUAUAUAUAAGACACCUUGGCAGAGGUGGAUGCAAGUUUAGUGGGGUCUGAAGCUUAUACAAAUUUUUUGUGUAUGUGGGGAGAGAGGGAGUGGUUUAAAAUAAAAUGAAAAAAAUUAAGUACAUGGCUUUGGAAGAGAAUGGUGGUGAAGUGCCCUGCUGUCUUAGCUUCCUUAGCUUCAGGGUAAAUCCCCCAUCAUCUCCCAGGGGAAAAAGUAGAAAAUGUUCUGGGAGUCAGAGUUUGAGAAAAAAACUGCCAUCUAGGAACUUUCCAGUACAGCUAGCAGUACAGAGUGUCAGUGCUGAAGGGAGACGUCAUCAGAGGGAGACGUAAGGAGGGACAGGAUCUUGAAGGAUCUAACAUAACUAGGACUUAGACGAUCUUUCCUCCAGAAUUCUAUCUGAAUAUUACAGGAAACAACUGAGAUCAUCUCAGCCUCUCCUGAACUGUGACCAACUGGCUUACUCAAGGGACUGGAUCUGCUGUCCCGACAUGAUGGCAAGCUGCAGCACAUCAUGCAGAUUAAAGUUCAGCCUGCCUCAGACUCAGGAUAAAAACACAUUUGGGACAGUCUCGCUCAGCCUCAUUGCAGAGACAAGAAAUGUAUGAAAAGAAAGUACAGAGAAAAAAAAAGAAUGGAAUACACAUGAAUGCCGAACCACAUUGGAUAUGUAGCUGUUCAUGAAGAUAUUCCAGGGAAGGCCUAUCUAGUAGAGCCUCAAAUCUAUUUGAAUACAAAUGGCACUCAUUAAGGACAUCUGUCUUCUGUAAUGUCUACACAAAGUCUUACCGGGGUCUUCUUGGCUCUUAUUGACGGCUGAUGAAGGAGGGGUUUAUAAAGAAAACAAGCCAAAACCUGAAUAACUUGCUACUGAGAGCAGCACACAUAUUUUCCCAAAGUGCAAAGUUGAGAAGAAGUACAAAGCUUUGUUAAUAUUCUGAACAGUACUGCUUAGUAUGAUCUAAUUGAUGGAUUUUCCAUGGACUCCCUAGAGACUGAAAAAGGUUUGACUGUCAGGAAACUUUUCUUGUGUUUAUUCUUCAAUUUUCCUUUUCCUACUUUCCAAUCAUCAUUCCCUAUUAACAUCCCUUGAUGGGUCACCUUAAGUGAUUAUUCUUUUUAAUGGCAUUUAUAACGUUUAAUAUUUCCCUGUUAAUUUCUAUUCCGACAAAGUACAUAUUUUUUUAAUCUUCACUCAUAACAUUAAUAAAUUUUUCCAACAUUUUAAAGCUCAGUUAACAUUUCCUUAUAUAUGCCUCUGUCUUUAAAAUAUGAGAUCUGAAUGUACUGGUAUCACUAGAAUUAUCUACAGAGUUCUAAUGUGAUGGAAAUUGUGCUACAAAAAUUUGUUCUUACAUAAUUUGCUUCAACGGAAUUCCUCCUGAACUAAAUACUUAGUCUUUACAUUCUUUAAAAUAACUAAAAUUUCCCAGAGGAAAGUCUGAAUUGUUCAUUUAACCUUGUGUGAUGUGUGCUGUGUGUAGCUGAAACAGCAAAGUGGACACACCUGCACCCUUAACAUUUUUGACUUUUUUUUUUUUUUUUUUAAAGAAUCAAGUUUCGUUUUUGUCACCCAAGCUGGAGUGCAGUGGUACAAUCUCCGGUCACUGCAACCUCCGCCUCCCGGGUUCAAGCGACUCUCCUGCCUCAGCCUCCCAAGUGGCUGGGAUUACAUGUGUGCACCACAAAGCCUGGGUAUUUUUUUUUUUUCAUUUUUAGUAGAGACGUGGUUUCACUAUGUUGGGCAGGCUGGUCUUGAACUCCUGAACUCAGGUGAUCCUUCCCCGCUAGGCCUCCCAAAGUGCUGGAAUUUCAGGCCUGAGCCACAGCACCUGGCCAACUGUGACUCAUUUUUAAAGCGGUUUGGCAAUAAUGCUAUAUACGUAUAAUGGUUUUGAAUAAAAUAUACAACUAUACAUGGCCUGUUAUCUUCUUAUUUUAGACAGAAUAAUCUUAGUCUUGUACUUUCAUGUAUUAGGCUGAUAGCCAUGAGAUUUGGGGAGGAAAAAAAUAGGAUAAAAUAGGACUCACUCAUUUCAAGAAAUAGAGUUAGUUUUCUAUGCAAGCAUUUUCUCCCCUUCUCCUUAGCCCACCAAAGUGGUAAAUGAGACUUCCAGCCAUGAGGCUGUUUGCACCUCUGUCUGGGAGGAGACUUCUGGAGCUUUGGUUGCUGCUAAUGACUUGGAGGGGCUUUGAAGGCCCCCUUGAAGAUGUCACGCAUGACCUCUGGACCCUUGGUAUCUUUCAAGAAUCCUUAUGAGAUACUAACUCAUUUCGUUUAUAAUAGGUGAAAACAGAUCAUGUAUUUUUAAACCAGAUAAUGCCUAAGUUAUAUUACUCUAGAAUUCAUAGAAAAAAUAAAAUAGCCGAGAUCUUUAAAAAGACUGUAAUGUGGUAUUAGUGGACUGUCUUUUUUUUUGUUUAUGGAGAGAAAAAAAUUAUUUGUAAGUUUUUUUUU
This 6406-nucleotide long non-coding RNA is filed under the name Homo sapiens (human). RNAcentral's name for it is "HSALNT0342917". The record is from RNAcentral. Lineage: Eukaryota; Metazoa; Chordata; Mammalia; Primates; Hominidae.